RNAcentral lists this ribosomal RNA (468 nucleotides) under uncultured bacterium. RNAcentral describes it as "partial 16S ribosomal RNA". It matches the Rfam family "Bacterial small subunit ribosomal RNA", at positions 28 to 507 of the family's 1533-position model. The record is from RNAcentral.
GACGAACGCUGGCGGCGUGCCUAACACAUGCAAGUUGAACGGCAAAGCCCUGCUUUCGUUGGGUGCUCGCGUGGCGAACGUGUGUGUAACACGUGUGUCAUCUGCCCUUGACUUUGGGAUAACUUCAGGAAACUGGGUCUUAUCCCAGAUAGUCGCUCCUGCUGCGUUGUGUGCGUUGGAAAGUCUCGGCGGUUGGAGAUGGACUCGCGGCUUAUCCGCUUGUUGGUUGGGUAGUGGCUUACCAAGCCAUUGCCGGGUAGCCGGCCUGAGAGGGGGACCGGCGACAAUGGGACUGAGGGACGGCCCAGACUCCUACGGGAGGCAGCAGGGGGAAAUAUUGCGCAAUGGGCGGAAGCCUGAUGAAGAAGCGCUGCGGGCGGGAUGACGGCCUUCGGGGUGUGAACCGCUUGCGCCUGUGACGCAGCGUGAGUGACGGUAAUGGGUAAAGAAGCACCGGCUAACUACGUG